CGUGGGUAACCUGCCCAAGAGAUCGGGAUAACACCUGGAAACAGAUGCUAAUACCGGAUAAUAACAGAUGAUGCCUAUCAACUGUUUAAAAGAUGGUUCUGCUAUCACUCUUGGAUGGACCUGCGGUGCAUUAGCUAGUUGGUAGGGUAACGGCCUACCAAGGCGAUGAUGCAUAGCCGAGUUGAGAGACUGAUCGGCCACAUUGGGACUGAGACACGGCCCAAACUCCUACGGGAGGCAGCAGGA
This 246-nucleotide ribosomal RNA is filed under the name uncultured Lactobacillus sp. Its description in RNAcentral is "partial 16S ribosomal RNA". It matches the Rfam family "Bacterial small subunit ribosomal RNA", at positions 116 to 354 of the family's 1533-position model. Lineage: Bacteria; Bacillati; Bacillota; Bacilli; Lactobacillales; Lactobacillaceae. The record is from RNAcentral.